RNAcentral lists this ribosomal RNA (500 nucleotides) under uncultured bacterium. RNAcentral's name for it is "partial 16S ribosomal RNA". It matches the Rfam family "Bacterial small subunit ribosomal RNA", at positions 28 to 523 of the family's 1533-position model. The record is from RNAcentral.
GACGAACGCUGGCGGCGUGCCUAAUACAUGCAAGUCGAGCGAGACUCUUCGGAGUCUAGCGGCGGACGGGUGAGUAACACGUGGGCAACCUGCCUGUAGGACUGGGAUAACACCGGGAAACCGGUGCUAAUACCGGAUAAUCCUUUUCCUCUCAUGAGGAAAAGCUGAAAGUCGGUUUCGGCUGACACUUACAGAUGGGCCCGCGGCGCAUUAGCUAGUUGGUGAGGUAACGGCUCACCAAGGCGACGAUGCGUAGCCGACCUGAGAGGGUGAUCGGCCACACUGGGACUGAGACACGGCCCAGACUCCUAUGGGAGGCAGCAGUAGGGAAUCUUCCACAAUGGACGAAAGUCUGAUGGAGCAACGCCGCGUGAGCGAUGAAGGCCUUCGGGUCGUAAAGCUCUGUUGUUAGGGAAGAACAAGUACCGGAGUAACUGCCGGUACCUUGACGGUACCUAACCAGAAGGCCACGGCUAACUACGUGCCAGCCGCCGCCGUAA